Molecule: ribosomal RNA, 253 nt
Filed under: uncultured bacterium
Lineage: Bacteria
Description: partial 16S ribosomal RNA
Rfam family: Bacterial small subunit ribosomal RNA
Source: RNAcentral
UACAGGGGGUGCAAACGUUGCUCGGAAUUAUUGGGCGUAAAGCGCACGUAGGCGGUCUGUUAUGUCGGAUGUGAAAGCCCUUGGCUCAACUGAGGAAGUGCAUCCGAAACUGGCAGGCUAGAGUACGUAAGAGGGUCGCGGAAUUCCCGGUGUAGAGGUGAAAUUCGUAGAUAUCUGGAGGAACACCGGUGGCGAAGGCGGCAUUCUGGACCGACAUUGACGCUGAGGAGCGAAAGCCAGGGGAGCAAACGGG